This 253-nucleotide ribosomal RNA is filed under the name uncultured bacterium. Its description in RNAcentral is "partial 16S ribosomal RNA". It matches the Rfam family "Bacterial small subunit ribosomal RNA", at positions 524 to 776 of the family's 1533-position model. The record is from RNAcentral.
GACGAAGGAUGCAAGCGUUAUCCGGAUUCAUUGGGUUUAAAGGGAGCGUAGGUGGCCUUAUAAGUCAGUGGUGAAAUCUCUGGGCUUAACCCAGAAAUUGCCAUUGAUACUGUAGGGCUUGAGUAUAGAUGCCGUUGGCGGAAUAUGACAUGUAGUGGUGAAAUACAUAGAGAUGUCAUAGAACACCGAUUGCGAAGGCAGCUAACGAAACUAUAACUGACACUGAGGCUCGAAAGUGUGGGGAUCAGACAGG